CGGGUGAGUAACGCGUGGAUGACCUGCCCUUUAGUGGGGAAUAACCCGGGGAAACUCGGGCUAAUACCGCAUAAGACCGAUAGGUGAAAAGGGGCCGCAAGGCUCUUGCUGAAGGAGGGGUCCGCGUCCGAUUAGCUAGUUGGUAGGGUAAUGGCCUACCAAGGCAACGAUCGGUAGCCGGCCUGAGAGGGUGAUCGGCCACACUGGAACUGAGACACGGUCCAGACUCCUACGGGAGGCAGCAGUGGGGAAUUUUGCGCAAUGGGCUAACGCCUGACGCAGCAACGCCGCGUGGAGGAUGAAGGUCUUUGGAUUGUAAACUCCUGUCAGCGGGGAAAAAGGGACCUGACCUCAUACGUCAGGGACUUGAUUGUACCCGCAGAGGAAGCCCCGGCUAACUCUGUGCCAGCAGCCGCGGUAAUACAGAGGGGGCAAGCGUUAUUCGGAAUUAUUGGGCGUAAAGGGCGCGUAGGCGGCUUUGCAAGUGACGGGUGAAAUCCCUCGGCUUAACCGAGGAACUGCCUGUCAGACUGCAUGGCUUGAGACCGGGAGAGGUGAGUGGAAUUCCCAGUGUAGCGGUGAAAUGCGUAGAUAUUGGGAGGAAC
This 605-nucleotide ribosomal RNA is filed under the name uncultured bacterium. RNAcentral's name for it is "bacterial SSU rRNA". It matches the Rfam family "Bacterial small subunit ribosomal RNA", at positions 103 to 707 of the family's 1533-position model. The record is from RNAcentral.